This is a long non-coding RNA of Belonocnema kinseyi, 759 nucleotides long. RefSeq lists it as uncharacterized. The record is from RefSeq and is a predicted model, not a curated record. The transcript is spliced from 3 exons. NCBI's taxonomy places the organism in Eukaryota, Metazoa, Arthropoda, Insecta, Hymenoptera, Cynipidae.
GAAACUGCUUAAGCGAGCAGUUCUAGGAAGGCUGAGAACGGGGUGACUGAAAACGAGAGUUUGGUGUAUUUAAAAGAAAUUUAACAUCAGAACACCUUCUUUUGGUCAAGAGCUCCUGAAAAGCCACCGUAAGCGAAUCUUGAAUACGGACGAAUUCAGGUUCAUGCUCGUGAAUUUUCGGCUUUACACGAGGUUGGCCUACUCGAGAUGUCACAGAGCUGACUCACUGACACGAUACUGCGCAUAGAUUUCUCCCAGCCGGGAGAGUGGUGGGGGCCCAAGAAUCCCACAUUCUGAAGACACUGGACUAUAUAAAUUCAUCCGAAAGACAUCCCAACAUCAGUCAACGUUCAACAUGUCAUCCCUAGAAACUGUUAUUGUCUUCCUUCUUAUGUGCAUUUUUGCACUUUCUCAGAUGGUUGGUUCUGGCGCCGCUGUAUCAAUACAUGUGGAUACAAUAGUGAAAAAAGGAAGCGAUCCACUUCACAAUCGUAAAUAGAAUGAAGAACACCUUCUGCGUGAAACCUUGGACAAUUUGAGUCAAUUUAAAAUGUUGAACUGCAAUGGGACAACCAAAAAAAAUUUACAACUCUAAUUUUACAUUAUACUUUUCAAAAUCAUGAUUUUGUAUUAUUUAAUUGUUAAUCCCUAGUACUAUUCUAAUUUAAAAUAGGAUUAGGAAUGCUUAUUAAACAUGUAUUUUGCAUAUGUUAAUAGUAAAAAAUGUUGUUCAUAUGAUUAAUAAACCUCAAGAAAGUA